Molecule: RNA transcript, 3132 nt
Organism: Chanos chanos (milkfish)
Lineage: Eukaryota; Metazoa; Chordata; Actinopteri; Gonorynchiformes; Chanidae
Gene: srrt
Gene name: serrate RNA effector molecule homolog (Arabidopsis)
Exons: 19
Source: RefSeq, a predicted model, not a curated record
UGGCGGGAGCACUCCGACUAAAUAAUUGCUGUAAUACAUUUUCCUUUGAGAAAUCUGUCACUGACCGAGUGAAAUGGCAGACAGCGAUGAUGAAUAUGACCGUCGUCGUAGAGACAAGUUCCGUCGUGAGAGGAGCGAUUAUGACCGGUCGAGAGAGAGGGAGGACAGACGGAGGGAUGACUGGAAUGACCGACGCCCUUCGGCCAGGGAGUGGGACAGGGGACGUGAGCGGCGUAGCCGCGGGGAAUACCGAGAGUAUGAGAGAGGUCGCCGAGAGAGAUUCUCACCCCCCAGACACGACAUCAGCCCCCAGCAGAAACGCAUGAGGAGAGACUGGGAUGAUCAUGGAGGAGACCCCUACCAUGGUGGGUAUGAUUUGGGUUAUGGUGGAGGUGGGGGUCCCAGCUAUGCUCCCCCACAACCCUGGGGCCAUCCUGACAUGCACCUAAUGCAGCCACACCACGGCCUCCCCAUACAAGCCCGGUUGGGUAAUAUCCAUGACAUGGACCUUGGUCCUCCACCUCCAGUGAUGAAGACCUUUAAAGAGUUCUUGUUGUCUCUGGAUGACUCUGUUGAUGAGACCGAGGCGGUCAAACGUUACAAUGAGUACAAAAUCGACUUCAGGCGUCAACAGAUGCAGGACUUCUUCCUUGCACACAAGGAUGAGGAGUGGUUCCGCUCUAAGUACCACCCUGAUGAGGCUGGGAGGCGUAAGGCUGAGGCCCAUGCUGCACUGCAGAACCGACUCAGUGUGUUUGUCUAUCUGAUGGAGAACGGCUGGUUCGACUCAGUCUGCCUCGACAUUGAACGUGCACCACAAAUUAUCAAGAUCCUGGAUGCAGCGGUAAUAAAGAUGGAGGGUGGAGCUGAAAAUGACCUACGCAUUCUGGAGCAGCCAAAUGAGGAAGAGGAGGAGAGAGAGAGAGUAGGAUCUGAAGCGCCCAAGCGGGAUGAAGUCCGCUCAAUGGAUACAGACCGCAAACCAUCUGCUGAGAGCCAGGACAAAGAGGGAGAGGGUGGAGUGUCUGACAAGGAUGUGAGUGCUUCAGCAGGAGUGGGUCUGGGAGAGGAGAAAUCAGAGAAAGAUCCAUCCAUCCAGGAUACCCCCGAAACCAAAAAGCUGAGUAAGAAGAGGAAGAGGAAGCGGAGUGGAGACAGUGAGGACGAGGCCAGUGUGUCCGAGAGUGACUCUGACUCCGACUCCGACUCACACUGUUCAGAAAAACCGCUGGAUAGAGAAGGAGAAGACGGGGAGGACAAGGAGGAGGAGGAAGAGGAGGAAGGAGAAGAUGUGAAAGAACGCAAGGAAGAGAAACAGAAAGAGAGAGAGAAAGAGAAGGAAGAGAAGAAAGCGAAGGAUGACCAGCCACCCCGGCCACGCCCACUCCACAAGACCUGUUCGCUCUUCAUGAGGAGCAUCGCCCCCACAAUCUCUAAAGCUGAGAUUGUAGCCCUCUGCAGAAGGUAUCCAGGCUUCAUGCGUGUGUGUUUGUCUGAACCUCAGCCCGAACGCAGGUUUUUCAGGCGUUGCUGGGUGACCUUUGACCGCAGUGUCAACAUUAAAGAGAUCUGCUGGAACCUACAAAACAUUCGACUGCGUGACUGUGAGCUGGCUCCAGGCGUGAACCGGGAUUUGGCACGACGUGUCCGGAAUGUUAAUGGAAUCACGCAGCACAAACAAGUGCUCCGCAAUGAUAUUAAACUGGCUGCCAAACUGAUCCAUGCUCUCGACGAGAGAGAGAGACUCUGGACGCAAACAAACAGGGACAGCCAGGAGCUGCCUGCUCAGAACCCCAUCCUAAAGAACAUUACUGAUUACCUCAUCGAGGAAGUGAGUGCGGAGGAGGAGGAGCUUCUGGGUGGAGUAGGCGGGAUUGAGGCAGAGGAUGGAUCAAAGGAGGGAAAUCCUGCUGAGAUCACUGUGGAGAGGGAUGACAAACUUGUUAAGGUGUUGGAUCGUUUGUUGUUUUACCUGCGAGUCGUACAUUCGAUUGAUUAUUACAACAGCUGUGAGUACCCCAGUGAAGAUGAGAUGCCAAACCGCUGUGGUAUCAUUCAUGUCCGAGGCCCCAUACCACCCAACCGGAUCACACACGGAGAGGUGGCCGAGUGGCAGAAGACCUUUGAGGAGAAGCUGUCCCCCCUGUUCAGUGUGAAGGAGACUCUUAGUGAAGAGGAGGCUUUGAAGAUGGGUCGGAAGGAUCCGGAGCAGGAAGUGGAGAAGUUUGUCUCUGCCAACACACAGGAGCUGGGAAAGGACAAGUGGCUCUGCCCACUCAGUGGCAAGAAGUUCAAGGGUCCUGAGUUUGUGCGUAAACACAUUCUAAAUAAACAUGGAGACAAGAUAGAAGAAGUUAAAAAGGAAGUGGUUUUUUUUAACAACUUCUUGAUGGAUGCCAAAAGACCCGCCCUCCCUGAAGUGAAGGCCCCACCCCCUCCUGGCCCAGGACAGGGAGUUUUAUCUCCAGGACAUCCUUUCCCCCCUCAGGCUCCCCAGGCUCUGAUGGGCUUUGGCCAGCCCCGGCCUCCGGUCAUGGGUUAUGGAGGUAGGGGUAUGUGAGUGGCUUUGGCCAGCCCCGGCCUCCGGUCAUGGGUUAUGGAGGUAGGGGUAUGUGAGUGGCUUUGGCCAGCCCCGGCCUCCGGUCAUGGGUUAUGGAGGUAGGGGUAUGUGAGUGGCUUUGGCCAGCCCCGGCCUCCGGUCAUGGGUUAUGGAGGUAGGGGUAUGUGAGUGGCUUUGGCCAGCCCCGGCCUCCGGUCAUGGGUUAUGGAGGUAGGGGUAUGUGAGUGGCUUUGGCCAGCCCCGGCCUCCGGUCAUGGGUUAUGGAGGUAGGGGUAUGUGAGUGGCUUUGGCCAGCCCCGGCCUCCGGUCAUGGGUUAUGGAGGUAGGGGUAUGUGAGUGGCUUUGGCCAGCCCCGGCCUCCGGUCAUGGGUUAUGGAGGUAGGGGUAUGUGAGUGGCUUUGGCCAGCCCCGGCCUCCGGUCAUGGGUUAUGGAGGUAGGGGUAUGUGAGUGGCUUUGGCCAGCCCCGGCCUCCGGUCAUGGGUUAUGGAGGUGGUGGUCCUCCAUACCCGCCAAACCAGUAUGGAGGAGGCCGUGGGAAUUAUGACAACUUCCGUGGCCAGGGAGGUUACCC